Arachis ipaensis is the source of this 2355-nucleotide non-coding RNA. Lineage: Eukaryota; Viridiplantae; Streptophyta; Magnoliopsida; Fabales; Fabaceae. The record is from RefSeq and is a predicted model, not a curated record.
UAUCUAAUCUAAUACUAUUCUUCUAAUAGAGAAUUUUCAAGUUAGUGAAAUUUCAGCGUGUCAAGCUUCUCAGAUGGAGUGUUACUGUUUAUGACAUGUAUAUCCAUAUACCAUCAUCAUACUACUUACAAGUUACAACACGGUCUCUUCCAAUGAUAUUAUGCUAUAUGUGAUGUUCUUUCUAAUUUCUAUCAUGCAGGCAUUCAUACACACACCAUGCUAAAUUCAAAUUUUAAAUUUAUUCUCUUUUCACUCCUUCAGUUCUUCAUUUCAUCUAAUCAUCUUCUUUGUUUUUAACCUAUUUUCUAAUUUUUUCACCUUAUAUCAAUUUCAUUAAUCUUUCUUUUUAUUCAAAUUUUAAUGAUAUAUUCCCCUUUACUCAUUAAACUAGAAGUAAAACACACACAGAGAGGUUUACUUAUUUUUCAAAUUUUAAAUUCUUAGAUAAAUACAUCAUAUGCAUUACCUUACCCCCUUUAAUUUAUAACCCGUGGAGAUGGGUCUCUUCCACCCACUAUCCAGGCUUCAGAUGAGGACAAAAAUAGUGUUGCGGUGUCGUUAUGUGAGACUGCCGAGAUGAUCAAUAGUGAUGAUUAUGAGAUUCGGCAGCAAACCGACGGUGAUGGCAGUUGGCAGUUCCUAGAAGAGGCUUGGCGGUGGUGGUUGCAAUGUUCGUGGUGGAAUGUGGUGGUGGUAGGCACAGAGGAGGAAGAAGAGAGUAGAUCCGAGAAAGAACUGAGCGGCAGGCAUAGAGCACAUGCAGCGAGACUUGGCUUCAUCUAUGCAGUCUAGCAUCUGGAUCUAGGAUGGAACAAGAAGAUGGUCAAGCAUGCAGAAGGGAAAAGGAGAAUCUUGAAGCAUAUGGCUACAAGGCUAGAACUGCAGAUCAUAAUAAAACCGUUGUUCGAUCUGUAAGCGGCGAUAAGAACGCGGCAUCAACGUGGUGCCGCACCUAGGAAUCAAGAACGUGGUGCCGAUUUGGUCAUCACAUGGAGUCCACUAAACAUUGCUAUGGUGGUGAACGAGGCUAUGGCAGUGGUGGUGGCAGUGGAGUUCGUGGUGGUGGAUAUGGUGAUGGAUAUGCAGUAGAGUUCAAGAACAUAGCAGUGAGAUCUCACAUUCUUCUUCAUGCUUUAUUUCAUCCCUUUCCGAUUAUUCAACCGUGGAUUUCGUGAUCUUCAGCAGCUUUACGUGAUCUUAUUUGUGAAGCACACUCCGCUACCUUCGCAACGCAGAACCGUUCCUCUCCCCUCAAGGAUAUUAUGCUAUACAGUAUUUAGAACCAAACCUUGAGUUUCAAUUUUAAUUCCGCAUAAGGCUCAACCACAGAAGAAACAAAUUGGUACGUAUAUACUAACUCCUCUUCUUUGAAUUUUUCUUUUAAGUUGGUGAUAUUUAAUGGAAUAUACUUCGAGCUUUAUUUAUUGUUUUUAUUCUUUACUAGAGAGUUUUGAUUCCCUCAGCUUUCUCUUUGAAAUUUUCACACCCGAAAGGUAUAUGUUAUAAUAGGUGUGGAUUUGGUUCAGUAUAAUUCGGUCUCAAUGCAAAAAUCCUCGAACAACAAUUCUCUAUUUUUUUGCUUCCUUUGAUUAUUCAACUCUUUGAUCCACUCUUCCCAAAUAAUGUUCAAAUUGUAUUCUUUCACGUGUUUAUUGUUAAAACAAGGUGAAAUUUUAUUUCGAUUUUGUUUAGAAUAAUCAAGAAUGCAGGAUCGAAGGACUAGAACACGAUACCAUUGCUCUUGGUUCUGGAUUCUUAAUGCACCAAUUAAAUCCAAUGAAAAGCUCUUCCUAUUUUCGAUUCCAUGUUGGAAAAAUUGGUGGUGCUAGGUGGAAGUCUAUGUCCAAUGCUGUGAAAAAAGCAAACUUGUUCUCUAAUUCUCUUUUAUUAUUCUUUUCUCUUCGAUUAACAAUUAUUUCCGCUACGAUUUAGUCUAUAAUUCAUUAUAUUAUCAUAUUUCAGGAAAAAAACUCCAUAAGCUAAGGCAAAUGCUAAGAACAGACUAGCAUAUGAGGAGGAUAUCGGAGCCUACAACAAAAAAUUCAUAAUUGCUUUAACUCAAUGUUUUGAUUCUCUCUUAUAUUAUGAUUCAUACUAAUCCUAUGGUUGAACUCUUUUAAUGUUUUAGAAUGUGGGUGGAGAUUUUAAUAAGUCAAAAUCUGUUGUGGUGAAGGAAGAGACCUUGGAGUGGGAGGAAAUAAUUUCAUUCAUUAUCAAUUCUCAUAUAGUUUUGGGAGUUGAUUGACAAUAUAAUUUAAUCAUCUUAAUUUUUUGCUUACUUUUAUGUAUGAAGAUCAUGAGAUUUGAGGUUCAGUAAGAUUCUGUAAUUGUAUGUUUGAUUCAUCGAAAGGAAUA